Molecule: transfer RNA, 84 nt
Filed under: Stauntonia hexaphylla
Lineage: Eukaryota; Viridiplantae; Streptophyta; Magnoliopsida; Ranunculales; Lardizabalaceae
Description: tRNA-Leu
Rfam family: tRNA
About the family: Transfer RNA (tRNA) molecules are approximately 80 nucleotides in length.
Source: RNAcentral
UGCCUUGAUGGUGAAAUGGUAGACACGUGAGGACUCAAAAUCUUGUGCUAAAGAGCAUAGAGGUUUGAGUCCUCUUCAAGGCAU